UGGGGAAUAUUGGACAAUGGGCGAAAGCCUGAUCCAGCCAUGCCGCGUGUGUGAAGAAGGUCUUCGGAUUGUAAAGCACUUUAAGGUGGGAGGAAGGGCAUUAACCUAAUACGUUAGUGUUUUGACGUUACCGACAGAAUAAGAACCGGCUAACUCUGUGCCAUCAGCCGCGGUAAUACAGAGGGUGCAAGCGUUAAUCGGAAUUACUGGGCGUAAAGCGCGCGUAGGUGGUUUGUUAAGUUGGAUGUGAAAGCCCCGGGCUCAACCUGGGAACUGCAUUCAAAACUGACUGACUAGAGUAUGGUAGAGGGUGGUGGAAUUUCCUGUGUAGCGGUGAAAUGCGUAGAUAUAGGAAGGAACACCCGUGGCGAAGGCGACCACCUGGACUAAUACUGACACUGAGGUGCGAAAGCGUGGGGAGCAAACA
Molecule: ribosomal RNA, 427 nt
Filed under: uncultured bacterium
Lineage: Bacteria
Description: partial 16S ribosomal RNA
Rfam family: Bacterial small subunit ribosomal RNA
Source: RNAcentral